AACCAAUCCUCCAAAGAAAGUGUU
Molecule: non-coding RNA, 24 nt
Filed under: Arabidopsis thaliana (thale cress)
Lineage: Eukaryota; Viridiplantae; Streptophyta; Magnoliopsida; Brassicales; Brassicaceae
Source: RNAcentral